RNAcentral lists this ribosomal RNA (492 nucleotides) under uncultured bacterium. Its description in RNAcentral is "partial 16S ribosomal RNA". It matches the Rfam family "Bacterial small subunit ribosomal RNA", at positions 29 to 507 of the family's 1533-position model. The record is from RNAcentral.
AGUGAAUGCUGGCGGUAGGCCUAACACAUGCAAGUCGAACGGCAGCACAGUAAGAGCUUGCUCUUACGGGUGGCGAGUGGCGGACGGGUGAGGAAUACAUCGGAAUCUACUUUUUCGUGGGGGAUAACGUAGGGAAACUUACGCUAAUACCGCAUACGACCUACGGGUGAAAGCAGGGGAUCUUCGGACCUUGCGCGAUUGAAUGAGCCGAUGUCGGAUUAGCUAGUUGGCGGGGUAAAGGCCCACCAAGGCGACGAUCCGUAGCUGGUCUGAGAGGAUGAUCAGCCACACUGGAACUGAGACACGGUCCAGACUCCUACGGGAGGCAGCAGUGGGGAAUAUUGGACAAUGGGCGCAAGCCUGAUCCAGCCAUACCGCGUGGGUGAAGAAGGCCUUCGGGUUGUAAAGCCCUUUUGUUGGGAAAGAAAAGCAGCAGGCUAAUACCCCGCUGUUCUGACGGUACCCAAAGAAUAAGCACCGGCUAACUUCGUG